Molecule: ribosomal RNA, 486 nt
Filed under: uncultured bacterium
Lineage: Bacteria
Description: partial 16S ribosomal RNA
Rfam family: Bacterial small subunit ribosomal RNA
Source: RNAcentral
AUUGAACGCUGGCGGCAUGCCUUACACAUGCAAGUCGAACGGCAGCACGGGUGCUUGCACCUGGUGGCGAGUGGCGAACGGGUGAGUAAUACAUCGGAACAUGUCCUGUAGUGGGGGAUAGCCCGGCGAAAGCCGGAUUAAUACCGCAUACGAUCUACGGAUGAAAGCGGGGGACCUUCGGGCCUCGCGCUAUAGGGUUGGCCGAUGGCUGAUUAGCUAGUUGGUGGGGUAAAGGCCUACCAAGGCGACGAUCAGUAGCUGGUCUGAGAGGACGAUCAGCCACACUGGGACUGAGACACGGCCCAGACUCCUACGGGAGGCAGCAGUGGGGAAUUUUGGACAAUGGGCGAAAGCCUGAUCCAGCAAUGCCGCGUGUGUGAAGAAGGCCUUCGGGUUGUAAAGCACUUUUGUCCGGAAAGAAAUCCUUGGCCCUAAUACGGUCGGGGGAUGACGGUACCAGAAGAAUAAGCACCGGCUAACUACGUG